UGCAAAUGAACCUGAUGGGGAACCUGGGC
This 29-nucleotide non-coding RNA is filed under the name Macaca fascicularis (crab-eating macaque). Lineage: Eukaryota; Metazoa; Chordata; Mammalia; Primates; Cercopithecidae. The record is from RNAcentral. RNAcentral also lists the same sequence under 1 other name.